AGAAGAGGAAAUUGGAUUUGGAGGAGAGUUGCGAUGCGAUUCGGUUGUCGUGGUCGGAGACGGCGAGGCCAAGCCGAGUAACCGGCCACCGCCCCCGGGAGCUUCGGGCUUCUCCAAAUCGAGGAGCACGUUUCAACGGUCUGACGUACUUCAACUCAAGCAAAGAAUGAGUGAGGCUGGACUCGUCUUCUCCGCUCCUUUUUAGGAAGAUACUGAUGUUAUAGUAAAUUUCUGUGCCAACUGACUGUGAUCAGCUGAAGAAUCCCAGCUCAGGACUCUAUCUAACUAUCCUCGGGUGCAGACUCUGUACUCUACCGCAUUUAUAAGUUGGUGCAGAUUAGAACUCAUGGAAAAUGUUGCUAGCUCGAUAAGAAAGGUGCCGACAGUCUUUACACUAAAUGGUAGGAGGGAUAGGUGAUAGAGUUGUUGAGGAGUAUAGAGGGGAGAUGUACGUAAGUGGUGGGAGAUGGGAAAGUGUUUGAGGAGUAAAUGCAGAGGGAAAUAGUGGAGGAGAUUGGGGAGUGAGUUUAAGGGUUUGGUUCUUGUAUUUAUGAUGGAGGACGAACACCAUACAAUCUUUCUUUUACUUCAUUGUGUGUGAUAGAGCAGGUAAGGAAUUUUUCUAUGCUUGUUAUUA
Molecule: RNA transcript, 637 nt
Organism: Fragaria vesca subsp. vesca
Lineage: Eukaryota; Viridiplantae; Streptophyta; Magnoliopsida; Rosales; Rosaceae
Exons: 2
Source: RefSeq, a predicted model, not a curated record